GACGAACGCUGGCGGCAUGCCUAAUACAUGCAAGUCGAGCGAACAGAUGGAGUGCUUGCACUUCUGACGUUAGCGGCGAACGGGUGAGUAACACGCAAGGAAUCUACCUAUAAGCGGGGGAUAACAUUCGGAAACGGGUGCUAAUACCGCAUAAUAUCUUCUUCCGCAUGGAAGAAGAUUGAAAGACGGCUCUGCUGUCACUUAUAGAUGACCUUGCGGUGGAUUAGUUAGUUGGUGGGGUCACGGCCUACCAAGACGAUGAUGCAUAGCCGACCUGAGAGGGUGAUCGGCCACAUUGGGACUGCGACACGGCCCAAACGCUUACGGGAGACAGCAGUAGGGAAUCUUCCGCAAUGGGCGAAAGCCUGACGGAGCAAUGCCGCGUGAGUGAAGAAGGCCUUCGGGUCGUAAAACUCUGUUAUAAGAGAAGAACAAAUUGUAGAGUAACUGCUACAGUCUUGACGGUAUCUUAUCAGAAAGCCACGGCUAACUACGUGCCAGCCGCCGCGGUAA
RNAcentral lists this ribosomal RNA (513 nucleotides) under uncultured bacterium. Its description in RNAcentral is "partial 16S ribosomal RNA". It matches the Rfam family "Bacterial small subunit ribosomal RNA", at positions 28 to 523 of the family's 1533-position model. The record is from RNAcentral.